Molecule: non-coding RNA, 597 nt
Organism: Odobenus rosmarus divergens (Pacific walrus)
Lineage: Eukaryota; Metazoa; Chordata; Mammalia; Carnivora; Odobenidae
Source: the annotation of a RefSeq genome assembly
AUGGACAAGCUCCUGGGGGCAUUGCUGUUGAUUCUGUGGCUUCAGCCAGACUGGGUAAAUAGUCAACAGAAGGGUGACCAGCUGCAGGUCAAGCAAACUCCAUCCCUGAAUGUGCAAGAAGGAAAAACUUCUAUUCUGAACUGUGACUACAAUAAUGAUUUGUUUGAUUACUUCCCAUGGUAUAAAAAAUAUCCUGCUAAAAAUCCCGAAUUCCUGAUAUCAAUACUCUCAGUUACGCAUAAAAAUGAAGAUGGAAGAUUCACAGUAUUCCUCAACAAAAGUGCCAAACACCUGUCCCUGCACAUUGCAGGCUCCCAGCCUGGAGACUCAGCCUUGUAUCUCUGUGCAGCAAGUGCACAGUGCUCUCCGGGCACCUGCAGCCUAUACCCCAACCUGCAGCUGGGUCCUUGCCUCUUUGGGGUCUCUACUGGGAGGCACGUACUUGCUUCCAUUUACACACAUCAUUGCAGCAUUCUGGAAACAAUUGCAACGGGCUUCACUCUGAGCUCAAAAGUAACUGCUGCUGAGGAAACCCAUUCAGAAGCUGAUUUGGCCCACUCUCCUGAAAGGGCUGUUGUUGUGGCAGUUGGCUUAUGA